ACUCCUACGGAAGGCAGCAGUAAGGAAUAUUGGACAAUGCCCGCAAGGGUGAUCCAGCCAUGCCGCGUGCAGGAAGACGGCCCUAUGGGUUGUAAACUGCUUUUGUACCGGAGAAAACCUCCCCUCGUGAGGGGAGCUGAUAGUAUGGUAAGAAUAAGCAUCGGCUAACUUCGUGCCAGCAGCCGCGGUAAU
Molecule: ribosomal RNA, 192 nt
Filed under: uncultured bacterium
Lineage: Bacteria
Description: partial 16S ribosomal RNA
Rfam family: Bacterial small subunit ribosomal RNA
Source: RNAcentral